RNAcentral lists this ribosomal RNA (468 nucleotides) under uncultured bacterium. Its description in RNAcentral is "partial 16S ribosomal RNA". It matches the Rfam family "Bacterial small subunit ribosomal RNA", at positions 28 to 507 of the family's 1533-position model. The record is from RNAcentral.
GACGAACGCUGGCGGCGUGCUUAACACAUGCAAGUCGAACGGAAAGGCCCUGCUUUUGUGGGGUGCUCGAGUGGCGAACGGGUGAGUAACACGUGAGUAACCUGCCCUUGACUUUGGGAUAACUUCAGGAAACUGGGGCUAAUACCGGAUAGGAGCUCCUGCUGCAUGGUGGGGGUUGGAAAGUUUCGGCGGUUGGGGAUGGACUCGCGGCUUAUCAGCUUGUUGGUGGGGUAGUGGCUUACCAAGGCUUUGACGGGUAGCCGGCCUGAGAGGGUGAACGGCCACAUUGGGACUGAGAUACGGCGCAGACUCCUACGGGAGGCAGCAGUGGGGAAUAUUGCACAAUGGGCGGAAGCCUGAUGCAGCAACGCCGCGUGCGGGAUGACGGCCUUCGGGUUGUAAACCGCUUUCGCCUGUGACGAAGCGUGAGUGACGGUAAUGGGUAAAGAAGCACCGGCUAACUACGUG